This 485-nucleotide ribosomal RNA is filed under the name uncultured bacterium. RNAcentral describes it as "partial 16S ribosomal RNA". It matches the Rfam family "Bacterial small subunit ribosomal RNA", at positions 30 to 507 of the family's 1533-position model. The record is from RNAcentral.
AUUGAACGCUGGCGGCAUGCCUUACACAUGCAAGUCGAACGGCAGCACGGGUGCUUGCACCUGGUGGCGAGUGGCGAACGGGUGAGUAAUACAUCGGAACAUGUCCUGUAGUGGGGGAUAGCCCGGCGAAAGCCGGAUUAAUACCGCAUACGAUCUACGGAUGAAAGCGGGGGACCUUCGGGCCUCGCGCUAUAGGGUUGGCCGAUGGCUGAUUAGCUAGUUGGUGGGGUAAAGGCCUACCAAGGCGACGAUCAGUAGCUGGUCUGAGAGGACGACCAGCCACACUGGGACUGAGACACGGCCCAGACUCCUACGGGAGGCAGCAGUGGGGAAUUUUGGACAAUGGGCGAAAGCCUGAUCCAGCAAUGCCGCGUGUGUGAAGAAGGCCUUCGGGUUGUAAAGCACUUUUGUCCGAAAGAAAUCCUUGGCCCUAAUACGGUCGGGGGAUGACGGUACCGGAAGAAUAAGCACCGGCUAACUACGUG